AGGACGAACGCUGGCGGCACGCCUAACACAUGCAAGUCGAACGGAGAUUGAGAGCUUGCUCUAAAUCUUAGUGGCGGACGGGUGAGUAACACGUGAGCAACCUGCCUCUGAGAGAGGGAUAGCUUCUGGAAACGGAUGGUAAUACCUCAUAACAUUACAUGACCGCAUGAUCGUGUAAUCAAAGAUUUAUCACUCAGAGAUGGGCUCGCGUCUGAUUAGCUAGUUGGUGAGGUAACGGCCCACCAAGGCGACGAUCAGUAGCCGGACUGAGAGGUUGAACGGCCACAUUGGGACUGAGACACGGCCCAGACUCCUACGGGAGGCAGCAGUGAGGGAUAUUGCACAAUGGAGGAAACUCUGAUGCAGCGAUGCCGCGUGGAGGAAGAAGGUUUUCGGAUUGUAAACUCCUGUUUCGAGGGACGAUAAUGACGGUACCUCGGGAGGAAGCUCCGGCUAACUACGUGCCAGCCGCCGC
RNAcentral lists this ribosomal RNA (475 nucleotides) under uncultured bacterium. RNAcentral's name for it is "bacterial SSU rRNA". It matches the Rfam family "Bacterial small subunit ribosomal RNA", at positions 26 to 518 of the family's 1533-position model. The record is from RNAcentral.